This 1427-nucleotide ribosomal RNA is filed under the name metagenome. RNAcentral's name for it is "bacterial LSU rRNA". It matches the Rfam family "Bacterial large subunit ribosomal RNA", at positions 1435 to 2925 of the family's 2925-position model. The record is from RNAcentral.
CUUCCUGCGCCGCUGACAGAUACUGAAGUGGGGACGUGCUGUGGAAAGCAAGCGGGCGACUAGAAGUGCCCGUGCCGCAAGGCCGAGAGCGUUUACGAUCUCGAAGUUGUUGGAAGCAGGACCAAGAAAAGCCACGUAGGGUUCAAGCUGUCGCGACCGUACUAAAACAGACACAAGUAGGCGAGGUGAAUAUCCUAAGGCGCUCGAGAGAAUUGACAUUAAGGAACUAGGCAAAUUGACCCCGUAACUUCGGGAUAAGGGGUACCGUGGUAGGGUUUAUAGCCCGAGACGGUGACACUAAAAUGGCUCUAGCGACUGUUUACUAAAACACAGCACGGUGCAAACACGCAAGUGGACGUAUACCGUGUGACGCGUGCUCGGUGUCGGUAGGUUAAGGGGAAGGGUUAGCCGCAAGGCGAAGCUCAUAACCGAAGCCCCGAUAAACGGCGGCCGUAACUAUGACGGUCCUAAGGUAGCGAAGUUCCUUGUCGGGUAAGUUCCGACCUGCAUGAAUCGCGUAACGACUGGAGCACUGUCUCAAUGUCAAACUCGGUGAAACUGCAGUCGACGUGAAGAUACGUCGUUCCCGCAACAAGACGGAAAGACCCCAUGAACCUUUACUGUAGGUUAGUAUUGUGCUUAGGCACAGCCUGUGUAGCAUAGGUGGGAGGCGAUGAAGCGGUGGCGCAAGCCAUCGUGGAGCCGCAACAUGAAAUACCACUCUGGCUGUUUCUGAGUCCUAACCUGGUCCCGUGAAUCCGGGCCGGGGACAGUGCUAAUUGGGCAGUUUGACUGGGGCGGUCUCCUCCCAAAGAGUAACGGAGGAGUUCAAAGGUACCCUCAGCCCGGUUGGCAAUCGGGCAUUGAGCAUAAGGGUAGAAGGGUGCUUGACUGCGAGUCUGAUAAGACGAGCAGAUGCGAAAGCAGGACCUAGUGAUCCGGCGGUUCCGAAUGGAAGGGCCGUCGCUCAUCAGAUAAAAGGUACUCUGGGGAUAACAGGCUUAUCGCCCCCGAGCGUCCAUAGCGGCGGGGCGGUUUGGCACCUCGAUGUCGGCUCAUCGCAUCCUGGGGCUGGAGAAGGUCCCAAGGGUUUGGCUGUUCGCCAAUGAAAGCGUUACGUGAGCUGGGUUUAGACCGUCGUGAGACAGGUCGGUCCCUAUCUGUUGUGGGCGUAAGAAACUUGAAGGGAUUUCUUCUUUAGUACGAGAGGAUUUGGAAGGACGCACCUCUAGUGUCCCAGUUAUCGCGCUAGCGGUAUGGCUGGGUAGCCACGUGCGGCAUGGAUAAACGCUGAAAGCAUAUAAGCGUGAAGCCAGUCCCAAGAUGAGGUUUCUUAGACCCCUGGAAGACUACCAGGUUGAUAGGCUGGGUGUGUAAAGGCGGCAACGUCUUAGCUUACCAGUACUAACGGUCAUUCGCUUGGCCAC